Molecule: non-coding RNA, 143 nt
Organism: Gossypium hirsutum (cotton)
Lineage: Eukaryota; Viridiplantae; Streptophyta; Magnoliopsida; Malvales; Malvaceae
Source: Rfam
UGUUAAAAAUUAUCUAUUUGUACAGUUAAAAAUUAGCGUACAUGACGAAAUAAUCAAACAACAACACGUGGUGUGUUACAUGAACAUUAUACUAAUGUACAAAGACAGAUUUUUAACAGUAAAAAUAGAUGAUAUUUUUAAUA